Long non-coding RNA from Camelus dromedarius (Arabian camel), 1772 nucleotides. RefSeq lists it as uncharacterized. Lineage: Eukaryota; Metazoa; Chordata; Mammalia; Artiodactyla; Camelidae. The record is from RefSeq and is a predicted model, not a curated record. The transcript has 3 exons.
ACAGCGACUUGCAGGUUUCGCCUUCCUUGAUUUAUUUUUCUGGUUCGAAAAAGGAGCAUGCUCCUUUUGCAAAAUAACUUUCACGUGAGUGACAGUGCUGAAUAAAACCCAAACUAUCACUCGCUAUGUAGUGCCAGGACACUCAUCCCUUAUUGGAAUCAAUAUGUUUUAAAUGGGAGAAGAUUUCUCUGUCUGUGGGUGUAGGUCUAAUGGUUAUUUGUUUCACUAACCUCAGGGGCAGGGGUUAGGUAAACAGAAAGGCUGAUCAGUAUCUUUGACCUCAAGCCUAAGUCCCAGCAAGUUACAGUGUGAAGUGACUAAAUGGUCACAGUGGAUUACAUCACAAUGGGUUUGCUGUAUAAAGCCCAGAGCAUUUUAAAGCUUAGGCUUAUUUCUCCUAAGGGUAGGUAGUGGCUGGGUGGGUUUCUUUUACAGAGCUAGAAACAGACUGGUGGGUUUUGUUGUUUUUUACCUUUUUUUCACACUGAAUCCUUAUUUAGGGAAAUUGAUUUGUACCUGUGGCAAAGGUAUUCAAAAAUAUAUUUUUUUCCUAUUCAGGUCACAGUUUUGUAAGAAAAUCAAAGGGCAUGAUCAACAGCUUGUGCACUGCCUUGGUGUGGAACCAGAGUUCAAGCACAGACAAAAAUCAGACACUGAUUUCCCACUUCUGAUAGGGUAAUGAAGAAUUCAGAGGUCAACCCUAUACUUAAAUCCAGGCGUAAAAGAAGGGAGAAAAGAUCGAGGAGCUUAGAACAGAUUUCUAGCAACACUGAACGCAGGAGCAUGAGCCCUCAGAGUGACUAUAAAUUUCAGGACCUCAUCCACCACAUCCACAGGCAGAUGGAGGGCCAUCCUCACCACCAGGUCUACCAGCGCCACGUCUCCCCAGAAGAUUUGCUCCUCCUUCUCCAAGUUCUUUACCUAGAAUAAGUGGUAAACCAUCACCACCACGACCACCUUCGUUGGAGGACCUCCUCCUCCAGGAUUACCACAUGCUCUGUCUUAUGGAAUGAAGCAGAAAUAGAUGUAUAAACAUGAACUCUGUAUAUUGAGUCUUGAACGGCAUGACUUGAUUCUCCUUUGAGAGAAUUAACUCAUCAAAGGGAAAACUUGCACUAGAGUUUUUGGGUGUCUUCUGGCCAUUAGCAGUCAUUAAUGUGUGAAAACUGCAUAGUUUUGUGUAAGAAUGAUAUAAUUUUAGAGAAUGUGACUGCUGACUCUUUCCUUUGUGAGCUCACCAUCUUAUAUUCCUCUUUCAGAACAGUCUUUCAAUAAUUGAAAACUUCACAGAGAAUGUGAAAUUCAUCUAGGAGGCAAAAUUAUCUUUGCAAAUUGAUGUUUAGUCUCCUAAGGCUGCCAUAAUAAAUUCCUACAAACUAAAUGACUUCAAAAAACAAACUUUGGUCAAUUCUGAAGGCCAGUCAUCCAAAAUCAAGGUGUUGGCAGGGCUAUGCUCCCUCUCGAGGCUCUGUUCCUUGCCUCUUCCAGCUUCUGAUGGCUAUUGGCAUUCUGUGGCUUUGGCCACAUCUCUCUCUGCUCCAUAGUCACAUGGCUAUCGCCUCUGUGUAUCUGUACACUCCCACUUCCUCUCUUUUAUAAGGAUACAUGUGACUACAUUUAGAACCCACGCAGAUAAUCCAGGAUAAAUCCCUCCUCUCAAGAUCCUUAAAUUAAUCACAUCUUUUGCCAUAUAAGGUAAUGUUCACAGGUUCUAUGGAUUAAGACAAGAACAUAUUCUUUUGGAGGCCACCAUUCAUCCCACUUCAAUAAAA